ACAAUGGAGAGUUUGAUCCUGGCUCAGGAUGAACGCUAGCUACAGGCUUAACACAUGCAAGUCGAGGGGAAACGACAUCGAAAGCUUGCUUUUGAUGGGCGUCGACCGGCGCACGGGUGAGUAACGCGUAUCCAACCUGCCCACCACUUGGGGAUAACCUUGCGAAAGUAAGACUAAUACCCAAUGACGUCUCUAGAAGACAUCUGAAAGAGAUUAAAGAUUUAUCGGUGAUGGAUGGGGAUGCGUCUGAUUAGCUUGUUGGCGGGGUAACGGCCCACCAAGGCGACGAUCAGUAGGGGUUCUGAGAGGAAGGUCCCCCACAUUGGAACUGAGACACGGUCCAAACUCCUACGGGAGGCAGCAGUGAGGAAUAUUGGUCAAUGGGCGAGAGCCUGAACCAGCCAAGUAGCGUGCAGGAUGACGGCCCUAUGGGUUGUAAACUGCUUUUAUAAGGGAAUAAAGUGAGUCUCGUGAGACUUUUUGCAUGUACCUUAUGAAUAAGGACCGGCUAAUUCCGUGCCAGCAGCCGCGGUAAUACGGAAGGUCCGGGCGUUAUCCGGAUUUAUUGGGUUUAAAGGGAGCGUAGGCCGGAGAUUAAGCGUGUUGUGAAAUGUAGACGCUCAACGUCUGCACUGCAGCGCGAACUGGUUUCCUUGAGUACGCACAAAGUGGGCGGAAUUCGUGGUGUAGCGGUGAAAUGCUUAGAUAUCACGAAGAACUCCGAUUGCGAAGGCAGCUCACUGGAGCGCAACUGACGCUGAAGCUCGAAAGUGCGGGUAUCGAACAGGAUUAGAUACCCUGGUAGUCCGCACGGUAAACGAUGGAUGCCCGCUGUUGGUCUGAAUAGGUCAGCGGCCAAGCGAAAGCAUUAAGCAUCCCACCUGGGGAGUACGCCGGCAACGGUGAAACUCAAAGGAAUUGACGGGGGCCCGCACAAGCGGAGGAACAUGUGGUUUAAUUCGAUGAUACGCGAGGAACCUUACCCGGGCUUGAAUUGCAGAGGAAGGAUUUGGAGACAAUGACGCCCUUCGGGG
RNAcentral lists this ribosomal RNA (1034 nucleotides) under Segatella copri. RNAcentral's name for it is "bacterial SSU rRNA". It matches the Rfam family "Bacterial small subunit ribosomal RNA", at positions 1 to 1025 of the family's 1533-position model. Lineage: Bacteria; Pseudomonadati; Bacteroidota; Bacteroidia; Bacteroidales; Prevotellaceae. The record is from RNAcentral.